AAAAAUACCUGAUCUGAUCAAAGUGGAUGUCGGUGUACCAUCCGACGAUCACAGAUCAAAAAUCCAUCACGAAGAUCAUUUAAAUUCAUCAUCAUUCUUCUCAAAAUUCUAGAAAUCUUAGGAGAGAGAAAUAAUCUAGAGAGAGGAUUUUAGAGAGAGAAAAUAGAGAGAGAAAGUCUAAUUCUAGAGAGAGAAAAUAUUAGUUCAGGCUGAAGAGAGAG
This 221-nucleotide long non-coding RNA is filed under the name Elaeis guineensis (African oil palm). Its description in RNAcentral is "long non-coding RNA (EGUI_LNC036172)". The record is from RNAcentral. Lineage: Eukaryota; Viridiplantae; Streptophyta; Magnoliopsida; Arecales; Arecaceae.